UUGGCACCUCGAUGUCGGCUCAUCACAUCCUGGGGCUGAAGUCGGUCCCAAGGGUAUGGCUGUUCGCCAUUUAAAGUGGUACGCGAGCUGGGUUUAGAACGUCGUGAGACAGUUCGGUCUCUAUCUGUUGCGGGCGUUGGAAAUUUGAGAGGAGCUGACUUUAGUACGAGAGGACCGAGUUGGACAAACCUCUAGUGUACCUGUUGUGACGCCAGUUGCAUCGCAGGGUAGCUACGUUUGGACGGGAUAAGCACUGAAAGCAUAUAAGUGCGAAGCCCACCUCAAGAUGAGAUUUCCCUUAAGGGUCGUUCGAGAUUAGGACGUUGAUAGGCUACAAGUGUAAAGGUGG
Molecule: ribosomal RNA, 349 nt
Filed under: Cylindrotheca closterium
Lineage: Eukaryota; Bacillariophyta; Bacillariophyceae; Bacillariales; Bacillariaceae
Description: partial Bacterial large subunit ribosomal RNA
Rfam family: Bacterial large subunit ribosomal RNA
Source: RNAcentral